AAGCCUGACAGUACCAGCAGAAUCAGCAUCGGCUAACUCGAUGACAGCAGCCGCGGUAAGACGGAGAUGCAAGCGUAUCCGGAAUGAUUGGGCGUAUAGCGUCCGCAGGUGGCAGUUCAAGUCUGCUGUCAAAGACCGGCGCCUUAACUUCGAAAAGGCAGUGGAAACUGACAGCUAGAGUAUGCUAGGGGCAGAGGGAAAUUCUUGGUGUAGCGGUGAAACGCGUAGAGAUCAGGAAGAACAUCGAGAGCGAAGGCGAUCGCUGGACGAUAACUGCCAGUCAGGGAGUACAGGUAGGUGAGCGAAUGGGAUUAGAUACCCCAGUAGUCCUAGCCGUAAACGAUGGAUACUAGGUGUUGUCUGUAUCGACCCGGACAGUGCCGUAGCUAACUCGUUAAGUAUCCCGCCGGGGGAGUUCGCCCGCAAGUGGAAAACUCAAACGAAUUGACGGGGGCCCGCACAAGCGGUGGAGUAUCACAUGUAAUUGAAUGCAACGUGAAGAUCCUUGCCAGGACUUGACAUGUCGCGAAUCUUGACGAAACCGAGGAUCCCCUUGGGGAGCGCGAACACAGGUGGUGCAUGCCCGUCGUCAGCUUGUGUCUUGUGAUGUUGGGCUAAGUCCCGCAACGAGCGCAACCCUCGUGUUUAGUUGCCAUCAUUAAGAUGGGCACUUUAACCAGACUGCCGGGGACAAACCGGAGGAAGGUGGGGAUGACGUCAAGUCAGCAUGCCCCUUACGUCCUGGGCUACACACGUACUACAAUGGUAGGGACAGAGGGCAGCCAACCCGCGAGGGCGAGCUAAUCCCGUAAACCCUGCCUCAGUUCAGAUUGCAGGCUGCAACUCGCCUGCAUGAAGGCGGAAUCGCUAGUAAUCGCAGGUCAGCAUACCGCGGUGAAUACGUUCCCGGG
RNAcentral lists this ribosomal RNA (911 nucleotides) under uncultured bacterium. RNAcentral's name for it is "bacterial SSU rRNA". It matches the Rfam family "Bacterial small subunit ribosomal RNA", at positions 465 to 1378 of the family's 1533-position model. The record is from RNAcentral.